ACCGUAUAACAAUCGAAACCGCAUGGUUUUGAUUUGAAAGGCGCUUUCGGGUGUCGCUGAUGGAUGGACCCGCGGUGCAUUAGCUAGUUGGUGAGGUAACGGCUCACCAAGGCCACGAUGCAUAGCCGACCUGAGAGGGUGAUCGGCCACAUUGGGACUGAGACACGGCCCAAACUCCUACGGGAGGCAGCAGUAGGGAAUCUUCGGCAAUGGACGAAAGUCUGACCGAGCAACGCCGCGUGAGUGAAGAAGGUUUUCGGAUCGUAAAACUCUGUUGUUAGAGAAGAACAAGGAUGAGAGUAACUGUUCAUCCCUUGACGGUAUCUAACCAGAAAGCCACGGCUAACUACGUGCCAGCAGCCGCGGUAAUACGUAGGUGGCAAGCGUUGUCCGGAUUUAUUGGGCGUAAAGCGAGCGCAGGCGGUUUCUUAAGUCUGAUGUGAAAGCCCCCGGCUCAACCGGGGAGGGUCAUUGGAAACUGGGAGACUUGAGUGCAGAAGAGGAGAGUGGAAUUCCAUGUGUAGCGGUGAAAUGCGUAGAUAUAUGGAGGAACACCAGUGGCGAAGGCGGCUCUCUGGUCUGUAACUGACGCUGAGGCUCGAAAGCGUGGGGAGCAAACAGGAUUAGAUACCCUGGUAGUCCACGCCGUAAACGAUGAGUGCUAAGUGUUGGAGGGUUUCCGCCCUUCAGUGCUGCAGCUAACGCAUUAAGCACUCCGCCUGGGGAGUACGACCGCAAGGUUGAAACUCAAAGGAAUUGACGGGGGCCCGCACAAGCGGUGGAGCAUGUGGUUUAAUUCGAAGCAACGCGAAGAACCUUACCAGGUCUUGACAUCCUUUUGACCACUCUAGAGAUAGAGCUUCCCCUUCGGGGGCAAAGUGACAGGUGGUGCAUGGUUGUCGUCAGCUCGUGUCGUGAGAUGUUGGGUUAAGUCCCGCAACGAGCGCAACCCUUAUUGUUAGUUGCCAUCAUUCAGUUGGGCACUCUAGCAAGACUGCCGGUGACAAACCGGAGGAAGGUGGGGAUGACGUCAAAUCAUCAUGCCCCUUAUGACCUGGGCUACACACGUGCUACAAUGGGAAGUACAACGAGUUGCGAAGUCGCGAGGCUAAGCUAAUCUCUUAAAGCUUCUCUCAGUUCGGAUUGCAGGCUGCAACUCGCCUGCAUGAAGCCGGAAUCGCUAGUAAUCGCGGAUCAGCACGCGCGCGGUGAAUACGU
This 1218-nucleotide ribosomal RNA is filed under the name Enterococcus faecium. RNAcentral's name for it is "bacterial SSU rRNA". It matches the Rfam family "Bacterial small subunit ribosomal RNA", at positions 168 to 1371 of the family's 1533-position model. The record is from RNAcentral. Lineage: Bacteria; Bacillati; Bacillota; Bacilli; Lactobacillales; Enterococcaceae.